GCAUCACCCAAAUAGCAAUGGAGAAAUACACGGUGAGCAUGAGUAAGUCACAACCUGUAAAGGACAUCACCAGAGAGACACAUGACAAAACCAAGAGGUUUACCCAUCAUGAACAUCAAGAGGAAACCAAUGAAUGGCCAUCAUCCUCUAUGGACAUCCAAAUAAUGUGAGAGACUUCAGUAUCCAAAGCAUCUGUGAUUUGAUUAAUGUGGGUAUACUUACCAACAAUGCAGACUGCACCUCUCACUUCUCUGGAAAUUCUGCACAACUCUUCUCCAUGUCUUCCAAUACUUUUGCCACAGUUGAGUUCACCCAACCUGCCUGCUCAAAGAAUGCUCACCACUGGACUUUCCAGAUACUCCUUGGGUGAUGAUCAAGUUCAAUUCUAAGAUUACUAAUUCCAUGAAAUACAAGCAUACAAGAAUAUCACAAGUACAUUAGCAUAUAAAAAGUUAGGCUUUUUGUUGUGUUUGGUGAUUGAUAGAAUGUUGGGAAUUUCAAUCCAGCUUCAACUCUCUGCCUGAUGUGAAGCAUUAUAUGAACUCAAAGAUCCUUGAAUCCCUUUUAUCCUCUCC
RNAcentral lists this long non-coding RNA (575 nucleotides) under Monodelphis domestica (gray short-tailed opossum). RNAcentral's name for it is "lncRNA (ENSMODG00000037236.1)". The record is from RNAcentral. Lineage: Eukaryota; Metazoa; Chordata; Mammalia; Didelphimorphia; Didelphidae.